Mytilus trossulus (common blue mussel) is the source of this 2161-nucleotide long non-coding RNA. RefSeq lists it as uncharacterized. The transcript has 3 exons. The record is from RefSeq and is a predicted model, not a curated record. NCBI's taxonomy places the organism in Eukaryota, Metazoa, Mollusca, Bivalvia, Mytilida, Mytilidae.
UCUGGCAUAAACUGAAGAAACAGCAUCAUCUUUCAACCAACAAACAGUCUGGUAUAAACUGAAUAAGCAUCAUCAUCUCUCAACCAACAGACCGUCUGGCAUAUAUUGAAUAAGCAUCAUCAUCUUUAAACCAACAAACAGUCUGGCAUAUACCUAAUUAGCAUCAUCAUCUUUCAACCAACAACAGUCUUGCAUAUAUACUGAAUAAGCAUCAUACUCUUUCAACCAACGAGAAGUCUGGCUUAUACCGAAUUUAGCAUCAUCAUCUGUCAACCAACAAACACUCUGGCAUAUACUGAAUUAGCAUAAUCAUCUCUCUACCAACAAACAGCCUGGCUUAUACUGAAUAAGCACCAUUUCUCUUAACAUACAAUAGUCUGGCAUAUACUGAAUUAGCAUCAUCAUCUCUCAACUAACAAACAGCAUAGUGUGUACUGAAUUAGCAUCUUCAUCUCUAAACCAACUAGCAGUCUGGCAUAUAUUGAACAAGCCUCAUCAUCUCUCUACCAACAAACAGUCUGGCAUAUACUGAAAUAGCAAAAUCAUCUCUCAACCAACAAACAGUCUGGCAUAUACUGAAUUAGUAUCAUCUUUCAACCAACAAACAGUCUGACAUAUACUGAAUAAGCAUCAUCAUCUUUCAACCAGCAAACAGUCAGGCAUAUACCUAAUUAGCAUCAUCAUCUUUCAACCAACAAACAGUCUGGCAUAUACAUAAUUAGCAUCAUCAUCUUUCAACCAACAAACAGUCUGGCAUAAACUAAACAAGGAACAUUAUCUCUUAACCAAGUAACAGUCUGGCAUAUAUUCCAUUAGCAUUAUCUUCUAUACCAACAAACAGUCUGGGAUGUACUAAAUGACUAUCCUCAUGUCUCAACCAACAAACAGUCUGGUAUAUAUAAAUUCAGCAUCUUCAUCUCUCAACCAACAAACAAUCUGGUACAUACUGAAUUAACAUCAUCAUCUCUUUACGAACAAACAGUCUGGCAUAUACCGAAUUACCAGCCUGGUGGGUACUGAAUCAACAUCAUGAUCUCUUAAGCUAAAAACAGCCUAAUGUGUACUGAACUAGCAUCAUCAUAUCUCCAACUACUGACAGCAUGGUGUGAUCUGAAUCAACAUUAGCACAUCUCAUUAUUAGACAUACUUGUGUGAACUGAAUCAGCCUUCUCAUCUCUCCAUGACAGAUAACCAUGUUUAAAUUUCAUCAGCAUCAUCAUCUCUCAGCCAACAGACAAUCUAGUAUCGACUUAAUAAGCCUACACAUCUCUCCACCAACAGACAGCCUGGUCUAAACUGGAACAGCCUUUUAAUCUAAAAACUAACAGCCAGCCUGGUCUGUACGGAAUCAGCAUCCUCAUCGCUCCAUUUACAGAUAGCCUGGUGUGUACUGAUACAGACCUCCAUAUCUCGUGAUCAACAGAUAUCAUGGUUUGUACUGAAACAGCUUUUCAUCUAUCAACCAACAAACAACCUGGUGUGUUAUUAAUCAGCAUCAUCAUCCCUCCACCAACAGAAAAAACAGCUGAAGCCAACAAGAAUUGACUUUUAGGAAUGAUGUUUGUGCCAUAUGAUAAGUAACAACUACUUAAGUUUAUUUUUCCUACACUUUUAGUUGUGACCUGCAGCAGAUAUUUUAGUCAAUAUUUCACCAUUGUAAAGCCCUGCAGCUGAAGAGUCUCAGAAAAUGCUAAGUAUUUUACUGCUUUACCAUAGCUUAUAAUAUAUAUGAUUAAAGGUUUACCACAGCUUAUAUAAAAUUUUGUUUAAAGGUACUAUAAUUGACGCUUAAAUGUUGGCGUAAAAUGCAAGUUUUGUUUUAAUUAGCUUUAAGGAUUAUUGUUAAAAUAGUACAUACAAAAAAUUUGAAACCCUAUUUUUAUAUGACCAUAAAUUUUGGCGGUCUUGCUGCUGUUCAACAUUAUCGGCCACAAAUAUAGUUUCCUGACUAAAACUGAAGUAUUUGCUCAAUUGUUAAUAAUUUUAACUUAACGUAAAUGAAUGUGUGUAUCGUGAGUUUCUCUCACUGACAACACUGGAUAAUAGCUAAGUGCUAUAUGCUAAUGACUAAAAAAUUAACCUUGUUAAACUUAUAUUUUGUGACUUCAAUAACUUGUAUUUACAAGGGAAGUUACAAACAUAUGUUAAAUAAAAAUAUAGA